Molecule: long non-coding RNA, 265 nt
Filed under: Ornithorhynchus anatinus (platypus)
Lineage: Eukaryota; Metazoa; Chordata; Mammalia; Monotremata; Ornithorhynchidae
Description: lncRNA (ENSOANG00000039392.1)
Source: RNAcentral
AGCAGUGAAACACAAGAAGGUGAAUUUGACAAAACAAUGAACAAUUCUUCAUAUAUCAUUUCAGAUAUUGUCCUACAACCUUUAUUGGAGACAAUUUGACGGUGCCAAGAAACCAUCUUGAAGCAUAAUGCAGAAUAAAUUAACCAUGGCCUUUUGGAUUAGCACAGUGGGACCUCGACGCCAAAGAAGCUGAACUGCGACUCCCCAAGGAGAUAACAGUGUGCCAAAGAAUCACCCAUUACUACAUAGUGCCCCAGGACCACCU